ACGACUUUCUCAGCAGGCGUGAAGACCGGAGGCUCGUUCACGUCCUCCACGUUCACGGUGACUGUGGCUGUGGAGGUCGGCAGACGGGUCGCGAAAGGAGCCUCAUUCUCCACAGUGACCAACAAGUGAUAAGGCCUUCCAUCUUGCCUGGACCAGUAUGGACACCGAAGAGUCCUCCCUCGUUUCCUCUGAUGAUGGUGUAUUUCGUGGACCAGGCCGGGAUGGAGUCAAUUCCAUUUCGGUUCAGGAAAUUGAUUGAUUAACACAGAACCCUGCUGAACUGGAGGCGGAGCCUCACCUCCCUGUCCAGCCCCGCCGCAGCCACACUGACCACUCCGCUGACCGCGUUUACGGAGAACAUGCUCGGGCUCGGCAGCCGCGGCUCCUGGCUCACGAUCUUGUACCGGACGAUACCGUUAUCUGUGGUGGGAUCGUCCUUGUCUGUCGCUGUGACCUUCAUGAAUGCAGAAUCUGAAAACGAAUUUGACUUUAUUGCUCAUUAAUAUCGACCAGUGCCAAUGGCAAAGAUGGCCCUACCGGUAAAAUGUAUCAUUAUGAAUAGCUUCACAUUAUCAAAAUCCAUGGCUGACCAUAUAUAAAUAAAUGUACCCAUUUGUCUAUGAAUUCAUGC
Molecule: long non-coding RNA, 631 nt
Organism: Anguilla rostrata (American eel)
Lineage: Eukaryota; Metazoa; Chordata; Actinopteri; Anguilliformes; Anguillidae
Exons: 3
Source: RefSeq, a predicted model, not a curated record